GACAGAGGGGGCAAGCGUUGUCCGGAAUUACUGGGCGUACAGGGCACGCAGGUGGUUGCUUAGGUGGCGUGUGAAAGCCCCGCGCUUAACGCGGGGAGGCCACGCCAAACGGUGCGGCUCGAGCGAUGCAGAGGGUGGUGGAAUUGCCGGUGUAGUGGUGAAAUGCGUAGAGAUCGGCAGGAACACCAAGGACGAAGGUAACCACCUGGGCAUCAGCUGACACUCAUGUGCGACAGCGUGGGGAGCGAACCGG
RNAcentral lists this ribosomal RNA (253 nucleotides) under uncultured bacterium. RNAcentral describes it as "partial 16S ribosomal RNA". It matches the Rfam family "Bacterial small subunit ribosomal RNA", at positions 524 to 776 of the family's 1533-position model. The record is from RNAcentral.